RNAcentral lists this ribosomal RNA (93 nucleotides) under Triticum aestivum (bread wheat). RNAcentral also lists the same sequence under 1 other name. Lineage: Eukaryota; Viridiplantae; Streptophyta; Magnoliopsida; Poales; Poaceae. The record is from RNAcentral.
GGAUGUGAUCAUACCAGCACUAAAGCACCGGGUGCUUGGGCGAGAGUAGUACUAGGAUGGGUGACCUCCUGGGAAGUCCUCGUGUUGCAUUCC